Molecule: ribosomal RNA, 405 nt
Filed under: uncultured bacterium
Lineage: Bacteria
Description: partial 16S ribosomal RNA
Rfam family: Bacterial small subunit ribosomal RNA
Source: RNAcentral
AUUGAACGCUGGCGGCAGGCCUAACACAUGCAAGUCGAGCGGAGCGGCGAACGGGUGAGUAACGCGGGAGUAACUGCCCCCCUCUCUGGGAUAACAGUUGGAAACGGCUGCUAAUACCGGAUAGUGGGGGAUGACUCGCGUCCUAUCAGCGUGUUGGUGGGGUAGUGGCCUACCAAGGCGACGACGGGUAGCCGGCCUGAGAGGGCGACCGGCCACCUUUGGAUGAGAGACGGCCCAAACGCCUACGGGCGGCAGCCGUGGAGAAUAUUACGUAGUGGGGUCCACCCUGAUGCAGCAGCGCCGCGUGCGGGAUGAUGGCCUUCUGGUUGUAAACCGCUUUCAGCCAUGACGCGGUAGUGGCAGAAGAAGCACCGGCUAACUACGUGCCAGCAGCCGCGGUAAUAC